UACGGGAGGCGACAGUAGGGAAUCUUGGACAAUGGGCGCAAGCCUGAUCCAGCAAUGCCGCGUGGGUGCAUCCGGCCUUCGGGUUGUCAAGCCCUUUUGUACGGAAAGCCAUCCUGGUGGUUCAUCCCCGCCGGGGAUGACGGUACGUCAGCAUCAGCACCGGCUCACUUCGUGCCAGCAGCCGCGGUAAUA
Molecule: ribosomal RNA, 192 nt
Filed under: uncultured bacterium
Lineage: Bacteria
Description: partial 16S ribosomal RNA
Rfam family: Bacterial small subunit ribosomal RNA
Source: RNAcentral